This 253-nucleotide ribosomal RNA is filed under the name uncultured bacterium. RNAcentral describes it as "partial 16S ribosomal RNA". It matches the Rfam family "Bacterial small subunit ribosomal RNA", at positions 524 to 776 of the family's 1533-position model. The record is from RNAcentral.
UACAGAGGUGGCAAGCGUUGUUCGGAAUUACUGGGCGUAAAGGGCGCGUAGGCGGCCAUCUAAGUCAGACGUGAAAUCCCCCGGCUCAACCUGGGAACUGCGUCUGAUACUGGAAGGCUAGAGUUUGGGAGAGGGAUGUAGAAUUCCAGGUGUAGCGGUGAAAUGCGUAGAUAUCUGGAGGAAUACCGGUGGCGAAGGCGGCAUCCUGGACCAAUACUGACGCUGAGGCGCGAAAGCGUGGGGAGCAAACAGG